This 254-nucleotide ribosomal RNA is filed under the name uncultured bacterium. Its description in RNAcentral is "partial 16S ribosomal RNA". It matches the Rfam family "Bacterial small subunit ribosomal RNA", at positions 524 to 776 of the family's 1533-position model. The record is from RNAcentral.
UACGUAGGGGGCGAGCGUUGUCCGGAUUUAUUGGGCGUAAAGAGCUCGUAGGCGGUUCGGUAAGUCGGAUGUGAAAUCUCCACGCUCAACGUGGAGGGGCCAUUCGAUACUGCCGUGACUCGAGUCCGGUAGGGGAGUGUGGAAUUCCCGGUGUAGCGGUGAAAUGCGCAGAGAUCGGGAGGAACACCCGUAGCGAAGGCGGCACUCUGGGCCGGUACUGACGCUGAGGAGCGAAAGCGUGGGGAGCAAACAGG